This is a long non-coding RNA of Leguminivora glycinivorella, 1793 nucleotides long. RefSeq lists it as uncharacterized. The transcript is spliced from 4 exons. NCBI's taxonomy places the organism in Eukaryota, Metazoa, Arthropoda, Insecta, Lepidoptera, Tortricidae. The record is from RefSeq and is a predicted model, not a curated record.
AGUCCGCCAUCUUUCUUACCUUUUUGAUUGUUGACUUGUAAAUUUUGUAAUUAGUUUUUGCCGACGUCCACCGUGCCGUUUUUUAAGUAAUUUUUGGUAUUUUACAAAUUGUGUUACUUUAGUGGACACGUGGAGACAUGGACGCUGACUGUUGGAAGAAUUCUUCAAUUCAGACUGGCGCAAAGAGCUAUCAGGGCGCGAUGCCAGGAAUUUCAUUGCGAGACAGAAUUCGAAAUGAGGAUAUUCGCCAACGCAAUAAAGUUACCGACAUUGCAAAAAGGAUUAACUCAAGUGGGAAUGGACCGGCUAUAUUUUUCGCAGAGAUGACGAUCAAUGGGGUCGCCUAGUAUUGCUGUGGAGACCUAGCCUGGGUGGCCGAGGUGGCGGGAAACCACGAGCAGAUGGUCGGAUGACAUCAAAAAACGGCAGGGCCCACCUGGCACUGGCACAGAACCGCCACAUAUAGAACGGAGUGGAAACCCACGGAAUGCAGACCAGGAUCAUAUACUUUAGGUAUGAGUUUGUUACUUUUGCUCAUAAUAACAUGGAGUAUGUCACAGCUGCUCCACGGGCUGCAUUGAAGGGCAACAGGAGCGAAAAUGGAAAGGAGCUCCCCCUUUCAAUUAGAGAAUCUUAGGAUAUGCUAAGGCAAACAGAAGGAGGCAAGGAACGGGACUGCAUCAAUUGCUGUUGGGAACCAAUCUUGUGGGAUGACUUCUGGACAGGGAAAAACAAUUUCAUCAUCUACCCUAAUACUGACGAAUGUUCUAAAACGUGCUGUAAGGCAGACAUUUCCAAAUGUAACGGAGGAAAGUUUCGAGACAUGUAAUGGUUUCAACACGCUGCUGAGACCCAACUCAAGAGACGUCAGUUUGUACUGUUUUGUCCAUUCUCUAUUGGGCAUGCUUGUAUGGAGAGGUAUAUAUAUUGGAGUACAGACAUGGUGUUUGGUAUGAGUAUUAUAUACAUCCUCUUGAGUCAAAGAGGACCGGUAGCCACUUUGAACUCCGUGUCCGAAAGGGUCAAAGUAUGGAGCUCCCGGUACUCAGAAAAAAAUUCUGGCCUAUUAGUUUUGAACUUUCGAGUCAAGUUUGGUGUCAUUUUUAUGUAAACUGUUCGCUUCAUUUUUAAAUUGAAGAAGAUUAAAAAUCACAGUAAUAUUAUUAAGGCAAAAGUUUGUGAGCAUACUGUGUUUGUUACUUCCUCACGCCACGCCCAAGUGCCUUAACAAAUAUUAUUUAUAAAAUUAAGUAUGGAGGAAGUAAGAUAUACCCUAAGUUAACACGUCGCUUCUUCUUGAUCGUGGGUAACACUCGGGGCGCAGUAUAAUGAUUAUUAAAAAUCUUUAUGCUGUCCCCUAUGCUGCGAUGGCGAUCGUUGCAGUACUUUCAAUAUUUUUUUUACAUCAAAUAUUAGAAUCAUCAAAGAUUACUAAUAAAAUAGGCUUUUUAAAAAUAUUUUUUAAAAAUCAUGAUUAGUAUAAAAAUAUGGAAAUAUGAGGAUUUGUUUGCAUUUCGUGGCUACUAAAAAUUCAUUAUAUUAAAUAUUGUGCUAUAUUUUGCUAUGGAACCCUAAAAAAGUAGUUACAUAAAACUGACACUAAAAUUGACUCAAAAGCUCAAACUAAUCGGCCAGAAUUUUUUUCUGAGCAGCAGGAGCUCCAUACUUUGACCCCCUCUCCCCCCUUCGGACACGGAGUUCAAAGUGGCUACCGGUCUUGUUUGACUCGGGAGGACGUGUAUAAUACCCAUACCAAACGCCAAUGCCCUACUCAAAAAUUCACCUUUUCCCAA